GGUCUCGUCUCACUACACUGUGAGGAGCCUUUGCAGGCUUUGCAGGCAAAAGAGCUGGAUAUAAGCUGACAAGUGAAAUCCCACCUCGGAGCAGCCGCUCCAGGUGCCUCUAGCACUGUUCUCCAGCCCCGACUGCCCAGUGCUGGCCAAGGUCUGCAAACGGGACGUGGGGACACCAUGGGGCUGUGGGAGGCGAGUGCCAGCAGGUGCAAAGGGGCUCCAUGCCCGGUGUUCUGUAUUGCAGCCUGGGGUGGGGGCCUGAGCUGCCACCUGCACGUAUGGCUUGCCCCAGGAGAGCCAUGCACCUGGCCUCACACGUGCAUUUCCAUCACUCUCACCAAGUGAGGUAAACCUGAGUCAUACUUGUGUGUGUUCUAUGUAAAAUGUGCGUGUCAAAUGUAAAAAUGCUAAAU
This 413-nucleotide long non-coding RNA is filed under the name Lynx pardinus (Iberian lynx). Lineage: Eukaryota; Metazoa; Chordata; Mammalia; Carnivora; Felidae. The record is from RNAcentral.